AGCCUCACUCCAUUAAGGAAUCAAGAAACUCGGAUCACACAGGUCACAAAAACAAACUGCCCUCUUCGAACCACAGAAGAAUGAGUGCUAAUACACAGUGUAUCACUUUCUACCGAGAGACUAUACACAAAAUCAUAAAGAUUUCACAGAAAUUUGAACUUCAAACACAAAUCACGCAGAUUCGUACACCAUACCCAAAAACCCAUUAAAUUAACACAAGUAAAUGGAGUAGAACUUCAUCAUCCCUCAAGUAUACAGCUGAGAAUCAUUCAAAAUUGGCUUGAAUAUGUGAAGAAGAGGGAUUUCAUACACAGAGAAGAAGAGAGAUGAAGAGGCGAACCCAAACCCUAGAGAAAAUCUCUCAAAUUUGAAAAUGUAAGAAUAAAG
Molecule: long non-coding RNA, 387 nt
Filed under: Olea europaea (common olive)
Lineage: Eukaryota; Viridiplantae; Streptophyta; Magnoliopsida; Lamiales; Oleaceae
Description: long non-coding RNA (OEUR_LNC005937)
Source: RNAcentral